GAUGAACGCUGGCGGCGUGCCUAAUACAUGCAAGUCGAGUGAACAGACGAGGAGCUUGCUCCUCUGACGUUAGCGGCGGACGGGUGAGUAACACGUGGAUCACCUACCUAUAAGACUGGGAUAACUUCGGGAAACCGGAGCUAAUACCGGAUAAUAUAUUGAACCGCAUGGUUCAAUAGUGAAAGACGGUUUUGCUGUCACUUAUAGAUGGAUCCGCGCCGCAUUAGCUAGUUGGUAAGGUAACGGCUUAUCAAGGCGACGAUGCGUAGCCGACCUGAGGGGGUGAUCGGCCACACUGGAACUGAGACACGGUCCAGACUCCUACGGGAGGCAGCAGUAGGGAAUCUUCCGCAAUGGGCGAAAGCCUGACGGAGCAACGCCGCGUGAGUGAUGAAGGUCUUCGGAUCGUAAAACUCUGUUAUUAGGGAAGAACAAAUGUGUAAGUAACUAUGCACGUCUUGACGGUACCUAAUCAGAAAGCCACGGCUAACUACGUG
This 497-nucleotide ribosomal RNA is filed under the name uncultured bacterium. Its description in RNAcentral is "partial 16S ribosomal RNA". It matches the Rfam family "Bacterial small subunit ribosomal RNA", at positions 28 to 507 of the family's 1533-position model. The record is from RNAcentral.